GUACACGCUGUGACUAGCAUAUCAAUAAGCGGAGGAAAAGAAACUAACAAGGAUUCCCCUAGUAACGGCGAGUGAAGCGGGAAGAGCUCAAAUUUGAAAUCUUAAAGGGUUUCCCUUUACGAAUUGUAGUUUAAAGAAGUGUUUUCUGUUGAGGUUUUGGUAAAAGUUCUUUGGAAUAGGACAUCAUAGAGGGUGAGAAUCCCGUAUUUGACCUUUACUUUCAACUUUGUGAUACACUUUCAAAGAGUCGGAUUGUUUGGGAAUGCAGUCCAAAAUGGGUGGUAAAUUUCAUCUAAAGCUAAAUAUUGGCGAGAGACCGAUAGCGAACAAGUACCGUGAGGGAAAGAUGAAAAGAACUUUGAAAAGAGAGUUAAACAGUACGUGAAAUUGUCAAAAGGGAAGCGUUUGACACCAGUGUUGUUUUUCUGAAAAUCAAUUAAAGAACUGUUUAUGCUAAGUUGUUUAGACUUUAUCAGCUAACUGUUUAGUUUUGAGCUUUUCUUUAAUGCACUUUUCAGUUAACAAGUCAACAUCAAUUUCUUUUGCUGUAAAAAAGCUUGAGGAAGGUGGCUUGAGAUUCGUCUUAAGUGUUUAUAGCCUCUUGCCUAUGCAGUCGGAGAGAUUGAGGUCUGCAGCGUAGAUCCUUCGGGGCUAAAUGCAUUUGUGCUAAGUUAUAGCAUUUUAUAGACAACUUGUUGACUAUGAUUUGUCUUUAGCUUACUCGCUUAUGUUAUUUUACCUACGCUUAGGAUGUUGAAGAUGUAGCACAUCAU
This 773-nucleotide ribosomal RNA is filed under the name uncultured Neocallimastigales. Its description in RNAcentral is "partial large subunit ribosomal RNA". It matches the Rfam family "Eukaryotic large subunit ribosomal RNA", at positions 22 to 635 of the family's 3401-position model. The record is from RNAcentral. Lineage: Eukaryota; Fungi; Neocallimastigomycota; Neocallimastigomycetes; Neocallimastigales.